AUAGCGAGUAGAGUAGGGAUGAGGAUGAUUUUUAAACUCCCCACAAGAUCCAAUGUGACUAAACACACAUAGCUAGUAAUGCUCUCCUCGAUCGAUCAGACAAGCAACUGCCAUUCGAUCGGUCACUGUUUACAGUUAUUCCAAUUAAAAUAAAUAGAGUGAUAAAAGGUGGCGAAGAAUCAGAGAAACGGAUAGUGACAGUGAAUUGGAGUGAAGAGGGAGAAGAAUCGAAGGUGCAAGAUCGAUCGUACCUUUCCUGACCCAAUAAAAUAAAUUGCAACCAGGAAAAUUCCCGGGAUACCUACACAUUCCUCUACAGUCAACCAUGCGUAACGAUAGCGACAUAAACCCCAAACGGUUAUGAGAUGCUGGUAUAAAAAUGUCUGUCAACGUUACCUUUCUUGAUAUACGAAGAUCCUCAGUGUCUCCUCAUCCUCGUUCACUUGUCACUCACUACGAGCACAGAAAUGUAUCACGAGGGUACGCGCAGCACUGUUAUGAUUACCAAAUCCAGGGAAUGAAUUUUCUCGAAAGUAGAAUUGAAUAUCGUUGACGUCCUGGCUAAGCUAAGGGUGAACACCAGUGCGACACACGAACCGUCCGAUGGCAUCCGCGUAACUAACUCGUCGUCGAAACGAGGGGAAAGAUGCCCUAUCCUGAUGGCCCGGGCUCCUGGCGGACUUGCGCCCCACCAUCCAAGCGCAACAUGUGGGAAACUGCGGGAGAUAUGUGACACUCACUUCUCUAGCCCUGCUAAAGGGAGUGACUUGGAGUUACAGUGGAGAUGAUUUUAGCCGAGUCAAAGGUCAUGAUUCUGAAAAACGUUCUCACCACCUUUUACUAUGCUUUUUAUUAGAAGCACGAAUUCUUACUUUCAACUUUCGUUGAGUACUUCCGGUACCCUUACCUUUUUUGUGAAUUCAAUGCAGAUACUUGUGAACUACCAUGAAUAGAUCAUUCUCGCAAUACAGUGGGGUAUGGAUUAUACAGUGAGUGGUUAAUUAUAUUUAACAAAAGGUCCUUUCAGAGAGAACCCGGUCGCUCGAUCACAUUAGAACGAUUUAAUAUAAUUUUAUAAAUUUACUCCAAGCAAACGAGGCGAUUGGAAAGACGAAUUAUGGAUAAUCGAUUAACGUUCCAAGACGCCAGAAUCACAAGCGCCAAUAACCACCAAGUAAAGCCACUCUCACGGGAUAUAAAAGUCUCAGGAAGAAAAUGGUACUGUUCGUGAGUGAGCCCUCUUUAUAUUGUCGAUAUAAAGGUGAACGUGUAUGCGACAAUAUUACGGAUAUUAUGAAAAUACAAUAGUAUGUCCCCUCGAUAUUUUCUAGAAAUCUCUCUCGUGUUUGCUCACACCAUCCGCCACCUAUUCCACUUCCUCCCAAUUCUCUUUCCCAUCAGUAACACAGCUAUACUAUACCGAUAUGUACUCGCCGAUUGGAGAUUGCCGCAGCAGUAACAUUUAGAGUAAAACCAUAACCAGCGAAACGAA
This is a long non-coding RNA of Cephus cinctus (wheat stem sawfly), 1492 nucleotides long. RefSeq lists it as uncharacterized. The record is from RefSeq and is a predicted model, not a curated record. NCBI's taxonomy places the organism in Eukaryota, Metazoa, Arthropoda, Insecta, Hymenoptera, Cephidae. The transcript has 3 exons.